This 231-nucleotide ribosomal RNA is filed under the name uncultured bacterium. Its description in RNAcentral is "partial 16S ribosomal RNA". It matches the Rfam family "Bacterial small subunit ribosomal RNA", at positions 524 to 753 of the family's 1533-position model. The record is from RNAcentral.
UACGAAGGGGGCUAGCGUUGCUCGGAAUCACUGGGCGUAAAGGGCGCGUAGGCGGACCGUUAAGUCGGGGGUGAAAUCCUGGAGCUCAACUCCAGAACUGCCUUCGAUACUGGCGAUCUUGAGUCCGGAAGAGGUGAGUGGAACUCCUAGUGUAGAGGUGGAAUUCGUAGAUAUUAGGAAGGAACACCAGUGGCGAAGGCGGCUCACUGGUCCGGUACUGACGCUGAGGUG